This 1193-nucleotide long non-coding RNA is filed under the name Olea europaea subsp. europaea. The record is from RNAcentral. Lineage: Eukaryota; Viridiplantae; Streptophyta; Magnoliopsida; Lamiales; Oleaceae.
AUUAAAGAGCCAACCUUUCGUCAUUUUCUCUUGCACAGUUAUCCCCAAAUUAGAGAAAACCCUUUUCGACGAAAAAUUGGUUCGAAGUCCAGAUUCCAUCCUGAAUAAGAAGUCAGUGAUUAAUUUAGCAAUCGUCUCCAUCUUUGGGUUUCUCAGCUCUAGUUAAUCUCGCGGUUGGGUUUUUUUCCUUUUUAGCCAUAAGACGGAAGCUGCACCGCAUGUAAAUCGACCAUCUCCAAGGCCAUCCAUCGCCUCCAGCGAAAUAUCGCAACAAACAUUAUGUAAGCAUCAUAUAUUUGUUAUUCAUUUUCCUUGAUUUUACUGUUUUCGAAUAAUUCAAUAGUUUGAAGAUUUUACAGUGCUCGGUGGUUGUAGUCUACUGUAGCGUAAUACAUGGUUUGUGUGUAGUAUGCCAAGAAAGAACUCUGGAAUAUGUCAUAGCUGUCGAGAGAAGAGUCACUUCUUUGCUGAUUGUGUGAAAAAAAAACGAUGCCCUCGGUGUAAAAUUGGUUUUGUGAAGUGCUUUGAGGUCGAGAGGGAAACGAAGAACAGGAGAAAAUUGUUCAAUUGCUGCAUUGCUAACUGUAAAUAUUAGGAAUUGCUCGACCUUGAAGAAUCAAGUGCUGGAUCAAGUAGCAUUACUGUAAACUCGAAUAAUCAUGCGGCUACGGAAGAAGUUCAACACUUCUCUGACUUGUUCCAAUCUUUUUGUCGGGUAGCCGAAGAAAAAAAUAUUGAAAUUGCAUUGAACAUGACUAUAUGCAAGGCCAGCGGAAGUGCGGAAGUGGAUAAGAAAGGGAAGGGACCAGCAUGAUUAGUAGUUAUGUUGUCAAUAAGUGUCGUUCCCUGCUACUUUUGAUGUGUAAUAUGUGUUCUGUCUAGUGUAGCUGGUGAACUGUAAGAAUGCCGAUGUUCAUUUUGGUGAAUGUAACAUGUUGGUCUGAUGAUGAAAGCAACUAUAUCAAGGAUGUUGGUCUGAGGAAUGAAACUAAGUUAUGUUCUUGACGCUAGUGUAUGACAGGAAUUUAAUGUAUAAACUUUUAUGCAAGUCAUCCGAAUUGAAUAAUAAUCAGAGAACUUAUAUGUUUCCAACCCCCAAAUUUGAUGAAAUUCAUUUUGAUUCUGCUACCCCCUUAGGCUCCAAUUUUGAAGGGACAGAAAUUAGUAAUUAUGAGAGAGUGUAUGCAUGUGGC